RNAcentral lists this ribosomal RNA (254 nucleotides) under uncultured bacterium. RNAcentral describes it as "partial 16S ribosomal RNA". It matches the Rfam family "Bacterial small subunit ribosomal RNA", at positions 524 to 776 of the family's 1533-position model. The record is from RNAcentral.
UACGAAGGGGGCUAGCGUUGCUCGGAAUUACUGGGCGUAAAGGGCGCGUAGGCGGACAGUUUAGUCAGAGGUGAAAGCCCAGGGCUCAACCCUGGAAUUGCCUUUGAUACUGGCUGUCUUGAGUACGGGAGAGGUGUGUGGAACUCCGAGUGUAGAGGUGAAAUUCGUAGAUAUUCGGAAGAACACCAGUGGCGAAGGCGACACACUGGCCCCGUUACUGACGCUGAGGCGCGAAAGCGUGGGGAGCAAACAGG